GGAAAGGCGCGCGAUACAGGGUGACAGCCCCGUACACAAAAAUGCACAUGCUGUGAGCUCGAUGAGUAGGGCGGGACACGUGGUAUCCUGUCUGAAUAUGGGGGGACCAUCCUCCAAGGCUAAAUACUCCUGACUGACCGAUAGUGAACCAGUACCGUGAGGGAAAGGCGAAAAGAACCCCGGCGAGGGGAGUGAAAAAGAACCUGAAACCGUGUACGUACAAGCAGUGGGAGCACGCUUAGGCGUGUGACUGCGUACCUUUUGUAUAAUGGGUCAGCGACUUAUAUUCUGUAGCAAGGUUAACCGAAUAGGGGAGCCGAAGGGAAACCGAGUCUUAACUGGGCGUUAAGUUGCAGGGUAUAGACCCGAAACCCGGUGAUCUAGCCAUGGGCAGGUUGAAGGUUGGGUAACACUAACUGGAGGACCGAACCGACUAAUGUUGAAAAAUUAGCGGAUGACUUGUGGCUGGGGGUGAAAGGCCAAUCAAACCGGGAGAUAGCUGGUUCUCCCCGAAAGCUAUUUAGGUAGCGCCUCGUGAAUUCAUCUCCGGGGGUAGAGCACUGUUUCGGCAAGGGGGUCAUCCCGACUUACCAACCCGAUGCAAACUGCGAAUACCGGAGAAUGUUAUCACGGGAGACACACGGCGGGUGCUAACGUCCGUCGUGAAGAGGGAAACAACCCAGACCGCCAGCUAAGGUCCCAAAGUCAUGGUUAAGUGGGAAACGAUGUGGGAAGGCCCAGACAGCCAGGAUGUUGGCUUAGAAGCAGCCAUCAUUUAAAGAAAGCGUAAUAGCUCACUGGUCGAGUCGGCCUGCGCGGAAGAUGUAACGGGGCUAAACCAU
This 842-nucleotide ribosomal RNA is filed under the name Escherichia coli. RNAcentral's name for it is "partial 23S ribosomal RNA". It matches the Rfam family "Bacterial large subunit ribosomal RNA", at positions 344 to 1190 of the family's 2925-position model. Lineage: Bacteria; Pseudomonadati; Pseudomonadota; Gammaproteobacteria; Enterobacterales; Enterobacteriaceae. The record is from RNAcentral.